RNAcentral lists this ribosomal RNA (431 nucleotides) under uncultured bacterium. RNAcentral's name for it is "partial 16S ribosomal RNA". It matches the Rfam family "Bacterial small subunit ribosomal RNA", at positions 29 to 507 of the family's 1533-position model. The record is from RNAcentral.
AGCGAACGCUGGCGGCAGGCUUAACACAUGCAAGUCGAGCGCCCCGCAAGGGGAGCGGCGGACGGGAGAGUAGCACGUGGGAACAUACUUCUUGGUUCGGAACAACUGAGGGAAACUUCAGCUACUACCGGAUAAGACCUUACGGGGCAAGAUUUAUCGCCGAAAGAUUGGCCCGCGUCUGAUUAGCUAGUUGGUGAGGUAACGGCUCACCUAGGCGACGAUCAGUAGCUGGUCUGAGAGGAUGAUCAGCCUCACUGGGACUGAGACACGGCCCAGACUCCUACGGGAGGCAGCAGUGGGGAAUAUUGGACAAUGGGGGCAACCCUGAUCCAGCCAUGCCGCGUGAGUGAUGAAGGCCUUAGGGUUGUAAAGCUCUUUUGCCCGGGAAGAUAAUGACGGUACCGGGAGAAUAAGCCCCGGCUAACUUCGUG